UCUCCUGGAAAACGGGUGGUAAUGCCGGAUGCUCCGACUCCUCGCAUGGGGUGUCGGGAAAGAUUUCAUCGGUAUGGGAUGGGGUCGCGUCCUAUCAGGUAGUCGGCGGGGUAACGGCCCACCGAGCCUACGACGGGUAGCCGGCCUGAGAGGGCGACCGGCCACAUUGGGACUGAGAUACGGCCCAGACUCCUACGGGAGGCAGCAGUGGGGAAUAUUGCACAAUGGGCGCAAGCCUGAUGCAGCGACGCCGCGUGCGGGAUGACGGCCUUCGGGUUGUAAACCGCUUUUGAUCGGGAGCAAGCCUUCGGGUGAGUGUACCUUUCGAAUAAGCACCGGCUAACUACGUGCCAGCAGCCGCGGUAAUACGUAGGGUGCAAGCGUUAUCCGGAAUUAUUGGGCGUAAAGGGCUCGUAGGCGGUUCGUCGCGUCCGGUGUGAAAGUCCAUCGCUUAACGGUGGAUCUGCGCCGGGUACGGGCGGGCUGGAGUGCGGUAGGGGAGACUGGAAUUCCCGGUGUAACGGUGGAAUGUGUAGAUAUCGGGAAAGAACACC
RNAcentral lists this ribosomal RNA (554 nucleotides) under Bifidobacterium catenulatum. RNAcentral describes it as "bacterial SSU rRNA". It matches the Rfam family "Bacterial small subunit ribosomal RNA", at positions 146 to 710 of the family's 1533-position model. Lineage: Bacteria; Bacillati; Actinomycetota; Actinomycetes; Bifidobacteriales; Bifidobacteriaceae. The record is from RNAcentral. RNAcentral also lists the same sequence under 1 other name.